UUGCGAGAUACGAUAGAUAUUUUGUUUAGUAUUUAUAAAUUGUAUACUUCGGCAUAUUUCGCCAAAUGACACUUUAUAAGAAACCGGUUUCGGUUCAUAAUGCAAACGUAUCACUAAACGGGAUCCAGUUAAUAUCUUAAAGAGGACUCCAAUGCGCAUGUGGCGCGCAUUUGCCAUGCGGUGUCACAAACUCGUCAUUGCGGCAGUGAGACGAAGAAGCGAGAAGAUGUGCACAGGGAAAGCGAGCAUGUCAUAUUAUGGGAGCAGCCACAUAACAUGAGGCACUUAGCUCCGAUAAAUUGACAGAAUUCCCAUGGCAAACCUGUUUCUACAGGUACGUUGAUGUCAAUAUGAAGAAGCUCCUGAACUAGAUCAGUUGAUGGCAGAAAAUGCUGACUGCCUUCCAUCAAACAUCAACUUGAUGGCAGAAAAUGCUGACUGCCUUCCAUCAAACAUCAACUGACGUGAAUCGGACUUGAGUAGCACAAGGUUCCACGAGAUGAGGUGCCUGUGAUGAAAGGAAGCUUGUGAACGUUGGUGAAGGAAGACGCUGUACCACAAGUGCUGUAUGUGAUGAAGAAUUGUUCAAUAAAGUUUUUCUGAAACUUCA
This is a long non-coding RNA of Haliotis rubra (blacklip abalone), 610 nucleotides long. RefSeq lists it as uncharacterized. The record is from RefSeq and is a predicted model, not a curated record. NCBI's taxonomy places the organism in Eukaryota, Metazoa, Mollusca, Gastropoda, Lepetellida, Haliotidae. The transcript has 8 exons.